This 2868-nucleotide ribosomal RNA is filed under the name Vibrio sp. 16. Its description in RNAcentral is "bacterial LSU rRNA". It matches the Rfam family "Bacterial large subunit ribosomal RNA". Lineage: Bacteria; Pseudomonadati; Pseudomonadota; Gammaproteobacteria; Vibrionales; Vibrionaceae. The record is from RNAcentral.
ACUAAGCGUACACGGUGGAUGCCUUGGCAGUCAGAGGCGAUGAAGGACGUAUUAACUUGCGAUAAGCCCAGAUUAGGUAGUAAAAACCAUUUGAGUCUGGGAUUUCCGAAUGGGGAAACCCACGUGCAUAAGCACGUAUCAUUAACUGAAUACAUAGGUUAAUGAGGCGAACCGGGGGAACUGAAACAUCUAAGUACCCCGAGGAAAAGAAAUCAACCGAGAUUCCGAAAGUAGCGGCGAGCGAAAUUGGACUAGCCCUUAAGCUUUACACACGUUAGACGAACGGUCUGGAAAGUCCGACGAUACAGGGUGAUAGUCCCGUAGUUGACGAUGUGUGUUCAGUGAAAUCGAGUAGGGCGGGACACGUGAUAUCCUGUCUGAAUAUGGGGGGACCAUCCUCCAAGGCUAAAUACUACUGACUGACCGAUAGUGAACCAGUACCGUGAGGGAAAGGCGAAAAGAACCCCUGUGAGGGGAGUGAAAUAGAACCUGAAACCGUGUACGUACAAGCAGUAGGAGCACCUUCGUGGUGUGACUGCGUACCUUUUGUAUAAUGGGUCAGCGACUUAUAUUCAGUAGCAAGGUUAACCAUCUAGGGGAGCCGUAGAGAAAUCGAGUCUUAACUGGGCGUCGAGUUGCUGGAUAUAGACCCGAAACCAGGUGAUCUAGCCAUGGGCAGGUUGAAGGUUGAGUAACAUCAACUGGAGGACCGAACCGACUAAUGUUGAAAAAUUAGCGGAUGACUUGUGGCUAGGGGUGAAAGGCCAAUCAAACCUGGAGAUAGCUGGUUCUCCCCGAAAUCUAUUUAGGUAGAGCCUCGGAUGAAUACUACUGGGGGUAGAGCACUGUUAAGGCUAGGGGGUCAUCCCGACUUACCAACCCUUUGCAAACUCCGAAUACCAGUAAGUACUAUCCGGGAGACACACGGCGGGUGCUAACGUCCGUCGUGGAGAGGGAAACAACCCAGACCGCCAGCUAAGGUCCCAAAUUAUAGCUAAGUGGGAAACGAUGUGGGAAGGCUUAGACAGCUAGGAUGUUGGCUUAGAAGCAGCCAUCAUUUAAAGAAAGCGUAAUAGCUCACUAGUCGAGUCGGCCUGCGCGGAAGAUGUAACGGGGCUAAGCUAUAAACCGAAGCUGCGGCAAUGACUUUUAGUCAUUGGGUAGGGGAGCGUUCUGUAAGCCGUUGAAGGUGUGUUGUAAAGCAUGCUGGAGGUAUCAGAAGUGCGAAUGCUGACAUGAGUAACGAUAAAGGGGGUGAAAAACCUCCUCGCCGGAAGACCAAGGGUUCCUGUCCAACGUUAAUCGGGGCAGGGUAAGUCGACCCCUAAGGCGAGGCCGAAAGGCGUAGUCGAUGGGAAACGGGUUAAUAUUCCCGUACUUCUUACAAUUGCGAUGGGGGGACGGAGAAGCUAGUGGGCCUGGCGACGUUGUCCAGGUUCAGUGCGUAGCUUGAGAGUAGUAAUCCGCUCUCUUUAAGCUGAGACACGACGUCGAGCACCUACGGGUGUGAAGUCAUUGAUGCCAUGCUUCCAGGAAAAGCCUCUAAGCUUCAGAUUGUAAGGAAUCGUACCCCAAACCGACACAGGUGGUCGGGUAGAGAAUACCAAGGCGCUUGAGAGAACUCGGGUGAAGGAACUAGGCAAAAUGGUACCGUAACUUCGGGAGAAGGUACGCUCUUGACGGUGAAGUCCCUUGCGGAUGGAGCUAUUGAGAGUCGCAGAUACCAGGUGGCUGCAACUGUUUAUUAAAAACACAGCACUGUGCAAAAUCGUAAGAUGACGUAUACGGUGUGACGCCUGCCCGGUGCCGGAAGGUUAAUUGAUGGGGUUAGUACUUGUACGAAGCUCUUGAUCGAAGCCCCGGUAAACGGCGGCCGUAACUAUAACGGUCCUAAGGUAGCGAAAUUCCUUGUCGGGUAAGUUCCGACCUGCACGAAUGGCGUAAUGAUGGCCACGCUGUCUCCACCCGAGACUCAGUGAAAUUGAAAUCGCUGUGAAGAUGCAGUGUACCCGCGGCUAGACGGAAAGACCCCGUGAACCUUUACUACAGCUUGGCACUGAACAUUGACCCUACAUGUGUAGGAUAGGUGGGAGGCUUUGAAACCGGUACGCCAGUAUCGGUGGAGCCGUCCUUGAAAUACCACCCUUGUAGUGUUGAUGUUCUAACGUUGACCCCUUAUCGGGGUUGCGGACAGUGCCUGGUGGGUAGUUUGACUGGGGCGGUCUCCUCCCAAAGAGUAACGGAGGAGCACGAAGGUGGGCUAAUCACGGUUGGACAUCGUGAGGUUAGUGCAAUGGCAUAAGCCCGCUUGACUGCGAGAAUGACAAUUCGAGCAGGUGCGAAAGCAGGUCAUAGUGAUCCGGUGGUUCUGAAUGGAAGGGCCAUCGCUCAACGGAUAAAAGGUACUCCGGGGAUAACAGGCUGAUACCGCCCAAGAGUUCAUAUCGACGGCGGUGUUUGGCACCUCGAUGUCGGCUCAUCACAUCCUGGGGCUGAAGUCGGUCCCAAGGGUAUGGCUGUUCGCCAUUUAAAGUGGUACGCGAGCUGGGUUUAGAACGUCGUGAGACAGUUCGGUCCCUAUCUGCCGUGGGCGUUGGAAGAUUGAAGGGGGCUGCUCCUAGUACGAGAGGACCGGAGUGGACGAACCUCUGGUGUUCGGGUUGUGUCGCCAGACGCAUUGCCCGGUAGCUAAGUUCGGAAUCGAUAACCGCUGAAAGCAUCUAAGCGGGAAGCGAGCCCUGAGAUGAGUCUUCCCUGACUCCUUGAGAGUCCUAAAGGGUUGUUCGAGACUAGAACGUUGAUAGGCAGGGUGUGUAAGCGUUGUGAGGCGUUGAGCUAACCUGUACUAAUUGCCCGUGAGGCUUAACC